UCAGUGUAUCUUUUUGGGAGACACAAUUCAACCCAUAGCAGUAUCACAAAGACAAAUAAAGACAAAUUUUGGGAUGGGAAUUUGUGUGUAAAUGAUUUAUUAGGAUAUGACCCCAAGAAAAAUACAGUAGGAGAGUGGGGAAAUGGGGAUGGUAAGGGAAGAAGACCAAUCAAGGGUAAUCAAGUGGUAUCCAGCUGAGGAUAAUUUUUGCUCAAUCCAGCCAUGGAUUUCUGGGGACAGUAUAGAUCAUAACUCUGAGUUGGAAACCGACCCUCCUGACACCUUAAUUUUGGGCUUCCAGCCUCCAGAACUGUGAGAAAAUAAAUUUCUAUUGUUUAAGGCACUGAGUCUGUGGUAUUUUGUUUUGGCAACCCUAGCAAACUAACGCAGUAGCCAUUGACAAGCAGACUGAUGCUGGCUCAUGGAAGUGAGAGCACCCUGGGGGCAGGUGUUCAUGGAGUGGGAGAGGAAUCUGAGAGAAUACAGGAAGAUAUGCCUGGUGUCUGCUCUGGCCUUAACCCUUCAUUCCAAGUGAACCAUUUCUAGAAUGCGGGCUUCUUGUCUCCACAACUUCAGCCUUUGCUCCAUUAGACAUUCAGAUUUCCAGAAAGCCAAAGAGACCGAGAAUAGCUACUUGGAAGACAUCCUACCUGCCGUUUCAUCUAGGCAACCAGUAUCAAUGGAACCAGUCAGAAUGUGAGGGACUGAAGAUAUAGGAGUGAAUAGAAGUCCGUAUACCUGUCAAUCAAGCCAUAAACAAACUAGAAAAUAAAUAAAUAACAAUCUUAAAAUCCUAAAUUUUCUUACUCCGCAAGCUUGAAUCUUUCAAUGGAUCUGAAACCUCUUACAGGAGAGAAAGUUCUUUCAGCAGCUGCUUGCUCAGGCUGCUCAUUAAAGUCGGCUUUUGUUUGCAUGCUGACUUUAAACACAAGGCAAAGUUUGUUUCUUCCACAUUACCUCAUAAGCUUGUUGUGAAGUUAAAAUGAGAUCAUCCAUGCAAAACUCUGCACAUUGCCUAGUUUAUAGUAAAUGCUCAAUAAAUGUUAGCUAUUUUUAUUAUCUGAUCCCUUUCUCUAUCCUCCCUGGGCUUACAGAGUUUGGAAUCCUAAUACUUUUUGCCUUGUUAUAUUUGCAAUAGCCUCCCAAAAGGUUUUCCCAUAUCUAAUAUAACCUUCCACCACCUUUCAUAUGUAUUAUGUAUUGCCACCAGAUUAAAUGUUCAGAUUAAUAAAUCUGGACCAUUCAGGUUUCUGAUCAAAUGUCUUUAAUGAGUUCACUCCUUAACCAGGUAUUCAAGACCUGCCACUGCUUAGCUCCAUUCUAAUUUUAGUUCCCCUUAUGUUCCAUAAUGAACACUAUAUUCUGGUUGAAAUAACUCGUUUGCUGUUCUUUUAAGUGACCCAACAUUUCCUUUCAACCUGGAAUGCCCCACUGCCUGCCCCACCCC
This is a non-coding RNA of Equus caballus (horse), 1447 nucleotides long. The record is from RefSeq and is a predicted model, not a curated record. Lineage: Eukaryota; Metazoa; Chordata; Mammalia; Perissodactyla; Equidae.